This 228-nucleotide unclassified non-coding RNA is filed under the name uncultured Dothideomycetes. Its description in RNAcentral is "sequence contains ITS1". The record is from RNAcentral. Lineage: Eukaryota; Fungi; Ascomycota; Dothideomycetes.
CAGUGAAAUGCUGUAGACUUGGUGUCUUUGGAUUAACCCCACGGAAGCAUUUUAAAGCUAAUGCUUUAUUAUGUUAAAGUGGCCUGCAAAGGAAUCUAGCACCGCCUAACCUUGUCAACAUAUUAAAACGUUGCCUCGGCAGGUUUGCCUGCCGGCGGACACUAUAAAAAUCUUUUAAACUUAAGCUUUAUUUAGUGAAUAGUCUGAUAAUAAAUUUAAUAAAAAUUA